RNAcentral lists this long non-coding RNA (4263 nucleotides) under Sus scrofa (pig). RNAcentral's name for it is "lncRNA (ENSSSCG00055006067.1)". The record is from RNAcentral. Lineage: Eukaryota; Metazoa; Chordata; Mammalia; Artiodactyla; Suidae.
UUUUUUUCUUUUUCUUUUUUUUUUUUUUUGUCUUUUGUUGUUGUUGUUGUUGUUGUUGUUGUUGCUAUUUCUUGGGCCGCUCCCGCGGCAUUUGGAGGUUCCCAGGCUAGGGGUUGAAUCGGAGCUGUAGCCACCGGCCUACGCCAGAGCCACAGCAACGCGGGAUCCAAGCCGAGUCUGCAACCUACACCACAGCUCACGGCAACGCCGGAUCGUUAACCCACUGAGCAAGGGCAGGGACUGAACCCGCAACCUCAUGGUUCCUAGUCGGAUUCGUCAACCACUGCGCCACGACGGGAACUCCUCAUCUCCUUUUUUAAUUAAAAAAAAAAAAAGUUUUUUCUUGAAGUGUGACGUAAUUCUCAUAUCAUGAAUUCACCAUUCUUAAAGUGCAUAAUUCAAUGAUUCUUUGGUGUAGUCACUAGAUUGUGCAACCAUCACCACUAACUGCGGGACAUUUUCAUUAUCUGUCCCCAAACCCUGUACCCAUUAGCAAUCAUUCCCCAUUUCCUGUGCCCCUGCUUCAGCCUCUGGCAACUAGCACUUUCUAUCUCUAUACAUUUUCCUAUUCUGGAUAUUUCAUAUAAAAAAAAUCAUACAGUAUAUGAUCAUUUGUGACUGGCUUAACUUAGCAGAAUAUAUACAAGGUUCAUCCAUGUUGUAGGAGGUAACAUUCCUUUUUAUGGUGGAAUAAUUUUAUUUUGUAUAAAUAAAUCACAUUUUGUUUAUCCAUUUGUCAACUGAUGGACAAUUGGUUAUUUCCACUUUUUGGCUAUUAUGAAUAAUGCUGCUAUGAAUAUUUUUGUACAUGUCUUCACUUCUUUUGGGUACAUUUUUAGGAGUAGAAUUGCCAGUUAAUAUAGUAAUCCUAUGUUCAAUCUUUUGAGAAACUGCCAAACUGUUUUCCAAAGUACCUGCAUCAUUUUAUUUUAUUUUUUUUUAUUUAUUUUUUUUGUCUUUUUGCCAUUUCUUGGGCUGCUCCCACGGCAUAUGGAGGUUCCCAGGCUAGGGGUCUAAUCAGAGCUGUAGCUGCCAGCCUACGCCAGAGCCACAACAAAGCGGGAUCCAAGCCGAGUCUGCAACCUACACCACAGCUCACGGCAAUGCCAGAUCGUUAACCCACUUAGCAAGGGCAGGGAUCGAACCUGUAACCUCAUGGUUCCUAGUCGGAUUCGUCAACCACUGCGCCGCGACGGGAACUCCCUGAUUUUUUUCUUCUUUUUUUUUUUNUUUUUUUUUUUUUUUUUUUUUUACCUGCAUCAUUUUACAUUGCCCCCAAACAAUGUGUGAGGGUUCCUUUUCCAUUUUCUUAUUUUGCUAAUAUAGUCUCCUAGUGGGUGUGAGUUUUUUUUGUUGUUGUUGUUUAUUUAUUUAUUUAUUUAUUUUUGGUCUUUUUAGCUAUUUCUUGGGCCGCUCCUGCGGCAUAUGGAGGUUCCCAGGCUAGGGGUCGAAUUGGAGCUGUAGCCACAGGCCUAUGCCACAGCAACGCGGGUUCCAAGCCGAGUCUGCCACCUACACCACAGCUCACGACGCAACUCAGAUCCUGCAUUGCUAUGGCCCUGGCAUAGGCCAGAAGCUACAGCUCUGACUGGACCCCUAGCCCAAGAACCUCCACAUGCCCCGGGUGUGGCCCUAAAAAGACAAAAAGAAAAAAAAUUUCAGUGGUUGCCUUUUCACUCUGUUGAUAGGUCCUUUAAAUUUUGAUGGAGUCUAAUUCAUCUAUUGUUUCUUUCGUUACCUGGGCGUUUGGUGUCAUAUUCAAGAAAUCAUUGCCAAAUCCAGCGUCAUGAAGCUUCUUCCUUAUGUUUUCUUCUAUGUAUGGUACCCUUGCUACUUAUCACAGGAAUGGGUUGCUAUGGUGAUAGCAUGGUGGAGGACAAUUAAGGAGCUUGCAAAGUGGAGGAGCUUAUACACUCUCCAAGGUUGGACCUGGCACAUUCCUUCUCAUAAUAUCUGGGGCACCCUAAGGGCAGGGAGUGUCCCAAGUUCUUCAUGCCAAACUGGUCUCUGCUUUCAUUGCCAUUCUUGGGGGACAUGGGGUGCCCAAGACUACUGUGGGGGAGGCUACUGGGGAUGAUCACAAACUGCCAAGCAGCUGUAAUUCCCCUUCCAACACUGAGCAAAUAAUUCUCAAACAUUUCAAAAAUAUAUGGUGCGGAAUUCCCAUUGUAGCUCAGCGGGUUAAGGACCCAGUGUAGUCUCCAUGAGGAUGAGGAUUUGAUCCCUGGCCUCACUCAGUGGGUUAAGGAUCCAGCAUUGCUGAAAGCUGCAGUGUAGUUCGCAGAUAAAGCUUGGAUCUGGCAUGGCUGUGUAUGUGGUGUAGGUUGGAGUCUGCCCCACCCAUUCAACCCUUAGCCUGAGAACUUCCAUAUGCCUCAUGUGCAGCUGUAUAAAGAAGAAAAAAAUGUAUGAUGCUGAAAUAUCAGCCUGGGUAGCUGGGUUUGAAUCCUGGCUUCUCCUCUAAUGUGCUAUGUGAGCUUGAGUCUCAGAUUUCUCAUCUGUAAAUAGGGGCUAAUAACUUAUAGGGUUACUGAGAUGGUUAGAAGAAGUCAGUAAGGUACCUCAUCUACCACCUGGCACGUUGUAAGUGAUCAGUAGUGUUGGCUUUUAUGGUUAUUACUGGGCUUCUCGCCCAGCCUGCCUUCAGCUCCAGGACAAAAGCACAGCUAGGCGAGCCCAUCCUUUCUGGUUCCUUCUUCAUUCUAUGACUGUUCCGCCCAACUCUCUGCCUGGGUCUCUCCAAAGUGCUGAGUCAUGUUGCCAGGAUCUGCCCUUUGGCCAUGUUCCUGGGAUGAACCAAACUCUGGGGGUGGACAGGUGAGGGCCACAGGGCUCUGGAGCUAGACAUCCUGAAUUCCAGCCCUGGCGCCUCCACUGAGCAAAUGACUGUGUCUCUGAGCCUUGCUUUCCUCCCCUGUAAAGUAGGAAUGACUGUAUUUAUUUCUUAAAGCUGACACAAGGUUAAACAAGAUAGCAUAGAUGAGGCAGCAGGUAAAUGAUUUCUUAAGUUCUUUGCAAGGCUUUAUUCUGGGGAGUGUAGCCUGGACUAGUGGCUGGAGGUGAACAGGAGUCAGACACGAGGCAGAUGAUGACUCCACUGUGUUACAAGCACUGGUCCAGUUGCUCUGAGAGUGUGGAGAAGGCUCCUGAACUUGGCUGGAGGCUGGGUGGGGAAGGGGCUUAGGGAAGGCCUCCCAGAAGAAGUCUCUAGGAGCCUUGAAGGUGCACAGAACAUGACUGGGGAGGGAGUGCAGGUUGAGGAUUCAGCAUGAACAAAUGCAGGGAGGCAGGAAGGAGCUUGAAGUAUCGGUGAGUUCAAGCCAAUGCAUCAAAUUGGGUGGAUGCGGGUUAAGUUCCCAGAGAGCCUUGCAAGUCACCACUGAAUGACCCCUCUCAGGGGGAAAUAAGGAGCCAGUGAAGGGCUUAUGAAGGGAGUGAUGGGAGCAGAUUUUCAUUUCAGAAAGGUUUUUCUGGCUUCCCUGUGGAGUCUGGAUAGAAGGGGAUGGGAAUGAUCACAGGGAGACUCACGGAUGCCUUUCUACUAAUCCAAGCAAGAGGCCCCAACUAGAGCAAUGGCCAUGGGAGGAAGAUGGAGUCCAGAGAUACUUAGAAAGCAAGCCAGCAAGCAACACAGCCAGGAUCUGAACCCUGGUCAGGCCACCUACCACUCCUGAAAGCCCCAAACAGCCUGGGCCUGGUAACCUUGGUAUCUUGGGCUUUGGCUGGUGUAGCAAAGCACCCUAUUUGAGCAGAAUGUUGAGCGCCACUCCCCCACAUUCCUGCUUCUCUGAGGACAGAGACACUGCUGGCCCAACUGCGCCCUCUGAUGGCUGAAGGUGAGGUGACCACAGCUCCCCAAGCACCCUGCAGCCCAGGCCUGCGGCAGCCCCGUCUUUUCCGGUGGGAGGUCGGCUCACCAAAUUCCAGUGCUGUCUGCACAGAUGGGCCUGGGUUCACAUCUUACCUCCACCUCUUGGGUUGUGUGAGAUGCUCAGUCACUUCCUGCCCUGAGCCUCACUCUCAUCUGUAAACUGGGGAUGAUGCUUCAGCUCAGGCCUGGUGCACAGUAGGUUUGGCGUGGAGCUGGCACCAUUAUGUUCCACCAAGAGGCACAGAUGUCCAAGCAGCUUUGUUCAGACUCUGGGGACCCCAUCCCAGGAACCUAGCUCCUCACUCUGUCCCACUGUGCGCCCCCUACCUCAGGCUGGCCCUCCCUGGCAGAGACCCACUUGCCCACAUUGACCCUCUCCUUCCCUGAGAGGC